UACGAAGGGGGCUAGCGUUGCUCGGAAUCACUGGGCGUAAAGCGCACGUAGGCGGACUCUUAAGUCAGGGGUGAAAUCCUGGAGCUCAACUCCAGAACUGCCUUUGAUACUGGGAGCCUUGAGUUCGGGAGAGGUGAGUGGAACUGCGGGUGUAGAGGUGAAAUUCGUAGAUAUUCGCAAGAACACCAGUGGCGAAGGCGGCUCACUGGCCCGAUACUGACGCUGAGGUGCGAAAGCGUGGGGAGCAAACAGG
Molecule: ribosomal RNA, 253 nt
Filed under: uncultured bacterium
Lineage: Bacteria
Description: partial 16S ribosomal RNA
Rfam family: Bacterial small subunit ribosomal RNA
Source: RNAcentral